RNAcentral lists this ribosomal RNA (304 nucleotides) under uncultured bacterium. Its description in RNAcentral is "bacterial SSU rRNA". It matches the Rfam family "Bacterial small subunit ribosomal RNA", at positions 28 to 334 of the family's 1533-position model. The record is from RNAcentral.
GAUGAACGCUAGCGGGAGGCCUAACACAUGCAAGCCGAGCGGUAUUGUUUCUUCGGAAAUGAGAGAGCGGCGUACGGGUGCGUAACACGUGUGCAACCUGCCUUUAUCUGGGGGAUAGCCUUUCGAAAGGAAGAUUAAUACUCCAUAACAUAUUGAACGGCAUCGUUUAAUAUUGAAAGCUCCGGCGGAUAGAGAUGGGCACGCGCAAGAUUAGCUAGUUGGUGAGGUAACGGCUCACCAAGGCGAUGAUCUUUAGGGGGCCUGAGAGGGUGAUCCCCCACACUGGUACUGAGACACGGACCAG